CCUACGGGAGGCAGCAGUGGGGAAUAUUGGACAAUGGGCGAAAGCCUGAUCCAGCAAUGCCGCGUGAGUGAUGAAGGCCUUAGGGUUGUAAAGCUCUUUUACCAGGGAUGAUAAUGACAGUACCUGGAGAAUAAGCUCCGGCUAACUCCGUGCCAGCAGCCGCGGUAAUACGGAGGGAGCUAGCGUUGUUCGGAAUUACUGGGCGUAAAGAGUACGUAGGCGGUUAUUCAAGUCAGAGGUGAAAGCCCGGGGCUCAACCCCGGAACUGCCUUUGAAACUAGAUAGCUAGAAUCUUGGAGAGGUCAGUGGAAUUCCGAGUGUAGAGGUGAAAUUCGUAGAUAUUCGGAAGAACACCAGUGGCGAAGGCGACUGACUGGACAAGUAUUGACGCUGAGGUACGAAAGCGUGGGGAGCAAACAGGAUUAGAUACCAUGGUAGUCCACGCCGUAAACGAUGAUAACUAGUUGUUCGGGCACUUGGUGCCUGAGUGACGCAGCUAACGCAUUAAGUUAUCCGCCUGGGGAGUACGGUCGCAAGAUUAAAACUUAAAGGAAUUGACGG
RNAcentral lists this ribosomal RNA (561 nucleotides) under uncultured bacterium. RNAcentral's name for it is "bacterial SSU rRNA". It matches the Rfam family "Bacterial small subunit ribosomal RNA", at positions 338 to 916 of the family's 1533-position model. The record is from RNAcentral.